UGACAAUAUAAUUAAUAGAAUAAUUCCUAAUUAUUCAUCAACAAUAGUAUUGCACAGAAACUGUAAAUUCUAUAAUGACAAGAACAAUGAUACAUAAAUCAUACAAGUACAAUGGUUAAUGCACUGCACCUGCAGUAAAGUAAGAAUGUAAAUGAACACAAGAAAGCCAAAAGUGAAAAUGGAAAAGGUUCACAAAAGAAAAUGGUACCUGUAAAUGAUUGAAAUGGACAAUUUUGAAUCUUUCCACAUUUAUUAUUCCUUAAUAUAUAACUUGAAUGCAUGGUUUCCCCAACUAAAUUGUUCCUCUUCUAUUUUCUUUGCUGAUUCUACAAUUGAAUCACCAAGGGUUGAAAUGCCCCGAUCAAGCGGACUUAGAAUCAAUUAGAUGGAUUGAAGAGUUGAAAUUUCCCCAGAACCACUAGGGAUCUCAUCCAGUUCUCUGCAAGCCCUAAUCGAAAUAACUAGCCGCUCGAGACUCGGGAAGUGGAUGCUCUCAACUCUCUAGUGCUUCAGAUGAACAUCGUGUAACAGCAGAAAUUUCAAUUUGAGAAAUUCUCCUUACCAAUUUCUAGUUCCCACUCUAGUUCAUUGAAGGCACAGCGUUUCAAUUUCAGCACUUCCAGUUUGGGCAACUUACCAAGAAUCUUCAAUUCAUCGGGAUGAAGUUUGAGAUAAUCUUUGGGAUGAAAUUCUAUGCCGUCUAACAUCAACUUUUUGAGAGACGUCGAAAAAGUGAUACGCAAGAUUAUUGAUACAGAAUUUCUCCCUACUGGCCACCACAAUAAAAUCAUAAUGGAUACCCAAUUUCCGUAGAUUUGGGAUUCUUUAGAGGACCUCCUCCGUCAACCUAAAAGUAUAUAUCCUUGAGACGGUUUGUAGAUUUUCUAGAACAACAAUAGAAUUUUCUUCCCCCUGAAUUUCUGAAAUAGGAGGAUCAAGAAGAUAUACAUCACAUUUCAACUUGACAUGUCUUAAUUUUGUCAUCUUCCAUAUUUUUGCCUUUAGGUUUGCAAUAUAAUCUUUCCUUAUACAACACUAUAUUUUUGCCAUUUGAUUGAAUCCAAAACUGUUUGGUUUGCAUUUGGAUUGUGUUUCUUCAGUUUAAUUUGAUAGUUCUUAGAGAAAAAUGGAGGGUGGUGCAGCUACUAUUUCAACAGAGAAGGCAUCAGAAUCUGGUAAGAAUACGAUGCGGUAUAGCAAUCACUAAAUUUUUCAUAUUACAAUAAGAUGGAUUUUAGGAAUACAUAUAUGAUACUUUUUAAUUAAUUGCAACUGACAAAGCAUAAUCUUUAGUUAUGUCUCACCGCCUUAGUAAAGAGGCGAAUGAUAGCAAAGUAGCAGAGCACGAUAAUAAUAAUCAUUGAUUCAACAUUGUAAAAAAACUCCUAAGUGAUGAGGGAUUGUGUAAGGGAAAUGGGUAAUUGUUAUACCCCAAGGUGAGGUUGAAAAAGAAACUCGAAAGCAAGAACACGAUGAAUUUAUGUAAUUUUAUCGAUUAAUGAAUUUUGUCCUUCAUUCCAUCAACCAUAUUCAUGGGUGUCAAGUUCAUAAUUUAUGACAGGUUGCACCUUGGAAUUGAGGCAGGGUAUGAUAGAUUUGCCCUGUGUCAUGAAUGGUGUGGACAAUUUGGUUCAUCAUAAGCUUGGUAUAUCUAGUACCACAUCAAAAUAGGUGCGAAUCAGGGGGGGCUGGACCAGGCUGCCAGCUCCAACCCUAGCCCAGAUCCUUUUUGUCACUAUUUAUUUCAUUUAGUCUGUGUCCAAAUUUAAGUUCAAUCAUUAUCCAAACAAAUUUUUAACUUGUACUAUAUCUGUGCUCCAUAGUUCAAUCAUCAAAAUAUUAUUUGAAAUAAUCAAUAGUUUAGUCAUAAAAUUAUUAUCUGAAAUACUCCACAAUUGUAAGCAAAAAUUGAGUAUUGUGAUACUGUAAUCAAUAAAGUAAUUCCUAAUUGUCUAUAUCAACAAUAGUACUGCACACAAAAUGUAAAUCUCUACAACGACAAGAACAAUGAUACAUGAAUAAUGAUUUUUCCAAUUAAUAAAUUCAUGUGAAAACCACAAGUAAAGAGAGAGGAAAGCAGAAGAAAGAACAUAGACAAACAAGGACGUUAAAUGAAAUCAUGGAUGUACACUACAAACUUUAGAGAAACUUAAUUGCACGCUUAAUGCACAGCAUCUGCAUUGAAGUUCGUUUAAACUGAGCUCUCAUAUCUC
RNAcentral lists this long non-coding RNA (2213 nucleotides) under Olea europaea (common olive). RNAcentral describes it as "long non-coding RNA (OEUR_LNC009404)". Lineage: Eukaryota; Viridiplantae; Streptophyta; Magnoliopsida; Lamiales; Oleaceae. The record is from RNAcentral.